Molecule: ribosomal RNA, 303 nt
Filed under: Triticum aestivum (bread wheat)
Lineage: Eukaryota; Viridiplantae; Streptophyta; Magnoliopsida; Poales; Poaceae
Description: partial small subunit ribosomal RNA
Source: RNAcentral
AUGCAUAUAAAAGACAUUUGGCGCGAAGUAUGCAUCAAGGUAUCUCAAAAAGAAUUACGGUGUUGGGCAUCACGGAAGGAAGAACAUGAUCAGUUUGGUGCUUCAGCGGAGGGGAAGAGCAGGACGUGGAACACGGAGCUGCGACGGAGAGUGGAUCGGACGUCGAUCCUCAAAGGAUGGGCGUCUUUCGCCCGUGGUAACCGCCUGCGGGAGGGUGACCUCUGCCUCUUCAAGCUAACGGAGAGCGUGGAGCCGCUGAAGAUGAUGGUGUACAUCAUUCGCCGUGAGAAGUGCUUAGCUUGA